Molecule: ribosomal RNA, 495 nt
Filed under: uncultured bacterium
Lineage: Bacteria
Description: partial 16S ribosomal RNA
Rfam family: Bacterial small subunit ribosomal RNA
Source: RNAcentral
GAUGAACGCUGGCGGCGUGCCUAAUACAUGCAAGUCGAGCGAACAGACGAGGAGCUUGCUCCUCUGACGUUAGCGGCGGACGGGUGAGUAACACGUGGAUAACCUACCUAUAAGACUGGGAUAACUUCGGGAAACCGGAGCUAAUACCGGAUAAUAUAUUGAACCGCAUGGUUCAAUAGUGAAAGACGGUUUUGCUGUCACUUAUAGAUGGAUCCGCGCCGCAUUAGCUAGUUGGUAAGGUAACGGCUUACCAAGGCGACGAUGCGUAGCCGACCUGAGAGGGUGAUCGGCCACACUGGAACUGAGACACGGUCCAGACUCCUACGGGAGGCAGCAGUAGGGAAUCUUCCGCAAUGGGCGAAAGCCGGACGGAGCAACGCCGCGUGAGUGAUGAAGGUCUUCGGAUCGUAAAACUCUGUUAUUAGGGAAGAACAAAUGUGUAAGUAACUAUGCACGUCUUGACGGUACCUAAUCAGAAAGCCACGGCUAACUACG